GGCUCCAUGCAGGGAGCCCAAUGUGGGACUUGAUCCCAGGACCCCAGGAUCACGACCUGAGUCAAAGGCAGACGCUCAACCCCUGAUCCACCCAGGCGCCCCUAGAAGCAUUUUUUAAAGGUCUUUGCAGGACCUGUUGACAACCAAAACUGCUGAGUGGAAUUUGAGAUGCGAGCGUGAGAGCGAGCUCCUGGCUCUGGAUUCUGGUCAGAAGUGUUAGCAUGUGGUGAAGAAACAGACCCAACAAACUCCAUACUCUGAUACCGGUUUUUAAAUUUUAGUUACUUGAGUGAAAACGAGCAGUGGGGAGUAGCAGGAGAGAAGCAGAGUCCCCGCUGAGCAGGGAGCCCCCUGAGCUGAAGGCUGGCGCUUCACCACCUGAGCCACCCAGGCACCCCCAGCUGCAUCUUCAUACAGUUCUGGGAAAGGCAGGAGUCACACAGAGAGAGAGGCAGAGGGAGAAGCAGGCUCCAUGCACCGGGAGCCCGACGUGGGACUCGAUCCCGGGUCUCCAGGAUCGCACCCUGGGCCAAAGGCAGGUGCCAAAUCGCUGUGCCACCCAGGGAUCCCCUGUGCCCACUUCAUGAGUGAAGUGUCCUACCGGGAACUGGUAGGGCGGUUCCACCAUCUUGUUCCUUGAGUGGCCUCAUCUUUGUCCCCGGGGCCCCUACUCCGCACUAGCCCGUGUCCCACCUGCAGAGGGAGGCCAGUGGAGGGGGAGAGCUCGCCAGCUGCCCCUCGGCGGUCUCCCUGUACCUGCCAGGGACCCAGCGCAGGGAUGAAGGUGCCAGGCUUGGCUCUGCUUCCUAGGAUGGCAGUUCAAGGCAGAGCCCAUCCGCCUGGUCCUGAGUUUGAAUUACAGACGCUUCUCUGUUUUGUUCACAACCCCAAACAUGUAGGACGAAGCAUCUGGCCAGUGGUGGGCAAAUAUUUGUUGAUGGAUUGGCCAGAGCACUUCAGUUUGCAAACACGAUGUUUCUAACUUC
Molecule: long non-coding RNA, 986 nt
Organism: Canis lupus familiaris (dog)
Lineage: Eukaryota; Metazoa; Chordata; Mammalia; Carnivora; Canidae
Exons: 2
Source: RefSeq, a predicted model, not a curated record